This is a long non-coding RNA of Anolis sagrei ordinatus, 478 nucleotides long. RefSeq lists it as uncharacterized. Lineage: Eukaryota; Metazoa; Chordata; Lepidosauria; Squamata; Anolidae. The record is from RefSeq and is a predicted model, not a curated record.
ACAUCAGCCUGGAAAGGAAGGGGAGUGGAAUUAAGUUUCUCCACCCUAGACUACGAUUCCCAGCAGUCCAUGGGGCCAGCCCUCCCUGCCCUGGCACCUGCUGGAGGAGAGGCUUUGUUCAGCAGAGAAAGGGAAAGCAAAGCAAGGCAAAGGAAGUUUCUGCUGUUCCUGGAGGGAUCUAUCUGCUAGCUGGUGCUGCUCACUGCUCAGAAGAGGAGAGCAAAGAGAGAAGUUCAAAUUGUAUGAAGUCUCGAUUCUGGGGAAAGACUGGAGCAGUAAUACAAUCGCUAAUGCAAAUGUGGACCAUUUUUAGCCCAACUGCCUUUCCAAGAACCAUGAUUUCCAUGUGUGCCAUGAUGCAUCAGUCAGGUGUGGAGUAGACCUCUGUGUCAUCCUCUACUACCCAGCCUUGGUGCUGCGUUCCAGUUCUACAUGGUAGCUAUAUCCCCCCUGUGACACCAGCCAAACUGGACACAUC